AUUGAACGCUGGCGGCAGGCCUAACACAUGCAAGUAGGACGCAGUUGCGAACGGGUGAGUAACGCGUAGGAACCUACCUAUUAGAGGGGGAUAACUAUUGGAAACGAUAGCUAAUACCGCAUACUAGUAGAUGAGCCUAGGUCGGAUUAGCUAGUUGGUGGGGUAAAGGCCUACCAAGGCGACGAUCCGUAACUGGUCUGAGAGGAUGAUCAGUCACACUGGAACUGUGACACGGUCCAGACUCCUACGGGAGGCAGCAGUGGGGAAUAUUGGACAAUGGGCGAAAGCCUGAUCCAGCCAUGCCGCGUGUGUGAAGAAGGUCUUCGGAUUGUAAAGCACUUUAAGUUGGGAGGCGUUACCAACAGAAUAAGCACCGGCUAACUUCGUGCCAGCAGCCGCGGUAAUAC
RNAcentral lists this ribosomal RNA (407 nucleotides) under uncultured bacterium. RNAcentral's name for it is "partial 16S ribosomal RNA". It matches the Rfam family "Bacterial small subunit ribosomal RNA", at positions 30 to 526 of the family's 1533-position model. The record is from RNAcentral.